RNAcentral lists this ribosomal RNA (239 nucleotides) under uncultured Burkholderia sp. RNAcentral's name for it is "partial 16S ribosomal RNA". It matches the Rfam family "Bacterial small subunit ribosomal RNA", at positions 290 to 516 of the family's 1533-position model. Lineage: Bacteria; Pseudomonadati; Pseudomonadota; Betaproteobacteria; Burkholderiales; Burkholderiaceae. The record is from RNAcentral.
GUCUGAGAGGACGACCAGCCACACUGGGACUGAGACACGGCCCAGACUCCUACGGGAGGCAGCAGUGGGGAAUUUUGGACAAGGAUGGCUGGGCGAGCCUGAUCCAGCAAUGCCGCGUGUGUGAAGAAGGCCUUCGGGUUGUAAAGCACUUUUGUCCGGAAAGAAAUCCUUGGCUCUAAUACAGCCGGGGGAUGACGGUACCGGAAGAAUAAGCACCGGCUAACUACGUGCCAGCAGCC